GUGAUUGGAAUGAGUACACUUUAAAUCCUUUAACGAGGAACCAUUGGAGGGCAAGUCUGGUGCCAGCAGCCGCGGUAACUCCAGCUCCAAUAGCGUAUAUUAAAGUUGUUGCGGUUAAAAAGCUCGUAGUCGGAUGUCUGUCUUCGGCCGGGCGGCGCCGCUCUGAAUCAAGGGUGUUGCGUUUCACGCUCUGGGAGCCCGGGUGUCAAAGCCCGACUCUCUUCACGGUCGGACAACAUCGCCGGAGUGGUGGCCGGUGCGUCGUUGUUGUAUCUGCGGUCAGAGUCGGAGGUUCUCUUCUGAUUUUGGUCGUAGUUGACUCGAUUCGCUCCACCCAGUCAAUCGUUCGGGGUGCCCUUCACCGGGUGUCUCGGGCGGCCGGCAACGUUUACUUUGAACAAAUUAGAGUGCUCAAAGCAGGUGUAUCCCAACGCCUGAAUAUCGCAGCAUGGAAUGAUGGAAUAGGACCUCGGUCCGAUUUUGCUGGUCUUUUACUUUUGGACCCGAGGUAAUGGUCAAUAGAGACGG
This 528-nucleotide ribosomal RNA is filed under the name Daphnia obtusa. RNAcentral describes it as "SSU rRNA". It matches the Rfam family "Eukaryotic small subunit ribosomal RNA", at positions 505 to 881 of the family's 1831-position model. Lineage: Eukaryota; Metazoa; Arthropoda; Branchiopoda; Diplostraca; Daphniidae. The record is from RNAcentral.